This 406-nucleotide ribosomal RNA is filed under the name uncultured bacterium. RNAcentral describes it as "partial 16S ribosomal RNA". It matches the Rfam family "Bacterial small subunit ribosomal RNA", at positions 30 to 526 of the family's 1533-position model. The record is from RNAcentral.
AUUGAACGCUGGCGGCAGGCUUAACACAUGCAAGUCGAGCGAGCGGCGGACGGGUGAGUAAUGUCUGGGAAACUGCCUGAUGGAGGGGUAUAACUACUGGAAACGGUAGCUAAUACCGCAUACCAUCAGAUGUGCCCAGAUGGGAUUAGCUAGUCGGUGGGGUAAUGGCUCAACUAGGCGACGAUCCCUAGCUGGUCUGAGAGGAUGACCAGACACACGGGAACUGAGACACGGUCCAGACUCCUAAGGGAGGGAGCAGUGGGGAAUAUUGCACAAUGGGCGAAAGCCUGAUGCAGCCAUGCGGCGUGGGUGAAGAAGGCCUUCGGGUUGUAAAGUACUGUCAGCGGGGAGGCGUUACCCGCAGAAGAAGCACCGGCUAACUCCGUGCCAGCAGCCGCGGUAAUAC